Long non-coding RNA from Cercocebus atys (sooty mangabey), 527 nucleotides. RefSeq lists it as uncharacterized. The record is from RefSeq and is a predicted model, not a curated record. The transcript has 2 exons. Lineage: Eukaryota; Metazoa; Chordata; Mammalia; Primates; Cercopithecidae.
CCAUCCAGCGGGAGCGUGCAGUAGGCUCUGCCAUCCAGCGGGAGCGUGCAGUAGGCUCUGCCAUCUAGGUUUAUGUCAGUGUACUCAGUGAUGUUCUCACAGCCGUGGAAUCGCAUAACAAUGAAUUUCUUUAAACAUAUCCUCAUGGCUAAGUGACAGGUAAGUGUUCUAAGGGAAGAAUGGAGUGGGGGACCAGUUCCCUGUAAGAUUCUGAGGUUUCUUAGAAUGACGUUUGAUCCUGGGUCUUGAAGUUUGAGUUGAAGAUUUCUAGGAGCAGAAAAGAGGAGGGUGGGGAUAGCAUGCUAGUUGGAGAGAAGAUAAUGAUGAAGAGCACCGUUAAAGAAUGGUGAGAAGGUCGGUACAGUUAAGGGAAAGGAUGCCAUGGAGGGGACAGGAUGGAGAGAAAAGGUGGGAAAUAAGACUAGAGGUAUAAACACUUAACCUGGGUGCUCUGGGUAUUUAAAGUAUUAUAAAGUAUUGAUGAUUUUGAGUUUUUUUUUUUUUUUUUUUUAAGGGACAUGAACUUU